UUCUUAUCCAGAGAAACCGAGGGACAGGCCCUAUGACGUUUCGGCAGCGGAUUCGCUUUUAGCGAAAACUGUGCUAAUUCCUGCAAAUGCAUAUAUGUGCAUUUGGAAGAUGAGAA
This is a regulatory RNA element of Planomicrobium sp., 116 nucleotides long. It matches the Rfam family "SAM riboswitch aptamer (S box leader)". Rfam says of the family: The SAM riboswitch is found upstream of a number of genes which code for proteins involved in methionine or cysteine biosynthesis in Gram-positive bacteria. The SAM riboswitch acts at the level of transcription termination control. The record is from Rfam. NCBI's taxonomy places the organism in Bacteria, Bacillati, Bacillota, Bacilli, Caryophanales, Caryophanaceae.